Long non-coding RNA from Rhododendron vialii, 712 nucleotides. RefSeq lists it as uncharacterized. NCBI's taxonomy places the organism in Eukaryota, Viridiplantae, Streptophyta, Magnoliopsida, Ericales, Ericaceae. The record is from RefSeq and is a predicted model, not a curated record. The transcript has 3 exons.
ACAGACGAGAUCAUUCAGAAGUAUGCUUUGAAAGGAAGGGUGCCAUCGGCCUUCAUUCUAUAUAAGUAUUCCUUGUUAAUGAAAAUUUAAUUCAUUUAACACUGAUUUGGUGUUUAAUUAUGUAUUUUCCUAUGACAAUGUUUGACUACUACUUUAUGUUUGUGCAAGUAGCAAUGAAACCAUAGCCAAUCUAAAAGAUGCUGGUACCUUAAUAACAAAUCAGACGAAGAGGGACAUUGGUGAGCAAUGGAAAAACUUGUCGAACGAACACAGGCAAAAGUACAAAGAUUUGGCUUAGUUGGCCAAAGAGGAACUCACCAAGCAAAAAGCUGUACUUCCGCCAAAACCCAGAAAAAAAAAAAUACAGAACCGUAUUUCCUUAAAGUCCAUCGUUCGAAUAGUACAAAAGUUAAGCCCAGAUCAACGUCGUGCUGUUCAGCUUAUUGGGUUGGGUGGAAUAUUAGAAUUGAGGUGUACGGCUCUUAACCAUCUGCUAUGUAAUUGGUUGGUGCAUAAAUUUGAUCCUGUUUCUCGUUCACUUACUGUUCAUGGGCAGACAUUCCUUCUCACUGAUUCCCAUGUUCAUGAGUGUUUGGGCAUUAAUGCACAAGGCAACCUUAUUGAGUUGGAGGGAAAUACGUCGGUAGAAUUUUCAGAAAUUUAUAAAAACCUUGGAAUGACGAAUGGGGUAGUCCAACUGAAAGAGUUGAGA